CCUUAGUAUAAAGAUAAUUGGCAACCAACCAACAUUGGUUUUGUCACUGGUUUAAAUUAUUUUCAUUAGUUGGCGCGCAAUAAAUUUAUCGGUGCACCAAAGCGUUUUGUUCAUUGCAUUCAAAAAUCACACUUCAUACAAACAAAAUAGUCUAUCUAAAUUGUGAAUACAAGUUAUUGAGAGAGAAAUGGUCAACAUUUCAUAUUUACUACGGCAAAACAAAAUUAGAGCAAGCAUCCAAUACUACAUAACAUAAAAAAUAUUUAGAAUAAUUUCGUACAUCGCAUAGUACAAGUAGUGAAAUAGUAAUUUUUUAAUUUAUUUCAUGAACAAAAACCAUGCUGUUGAUAUGAUUGCUUACCGUAACCAUACGCUGCAAGACCCAAAGUGGCCAUUGAAUCAAGGAAGCAGGCAGCGAGUCGUCCCAAACCUCCAUUACCGAGCCCUGCAUCCUCUUCAAGCUCUUCGAGUUCUUCAAUGUCCAAGCCAAGUUGGUACAGCGCUUCAUCUACCGUACCUUGGAUACCUAGAUUGAUCAUGGUGUUCUGGAGAGACCUUCCCAUGUAGUACUCCAGGGAUAGAUAGUAAACACGCUGGAAAUUCAAUUUGUAUUCAUUAUGUAAUAAAUUAAUGGCGCAUUAAUUUUACAGAAAAGUAACUUGAAACUACUGCAAUAUAUUCCAAUAUAAUAAAAAAGGUUCAUGUUCAUGUAUCUAAAAGAUUAUCCACAUUGGUUGGAUGAAGAGUAAAUAAAUAGUAAAUUUUA
Molecule: long non-coding RNA, 766 nt
Organism: Danaus plexippus (monarch butterfly)
Lineage: Eukaryota; Metazoa; Arthropoda; Insecta; Lepidoptera; Nymphalidae
Exons: 2
Source: RefSeq, a predicted model, not a curated record